CGCUCUUAGUGGUGGAUCACUCAGCUUGUGCGUCGAUUAACGUGAAUUGCAGGACACAUUGAUCAUCAAUGCUUCAAAUGCACUUGCGGCCCUGGUUUCCUGCUGGGGCUAUACCUGUCUGAGUGUCG
This is a ribosomal RNA of Apteryx owenii (little spotted kiwi), 128 nucleotides long. It matches the Rfam family "5.8S ribosomal RNA". From Rfam's summary of the family: 5.8S ribosomal RNA (5.8S rRNA) is a component of the large subunit of the eukaryotic ribosome. NCBI's taxonomy places the organism in Eukaryota, Metazoa, Chordata, Aves, Apterygiformes, Apterygidae. The record is from Ensembl.